GAGCCAGUACAAUUUGCUCAGCAGGUGGCAAACGAGGCUGGGAACUGGAAGUAUUCUACAGAAAUUCAAUGUAUUACUACUUGUAAGCUGUUAAACGAGGCCGUAGCACUUAACUUCUGCAACAGCCGAUUUAUAAUGAAUACUCCUAAGCUGCAGAACCAGCCUCAAAGGCACUAUGGAAUGACUUCUCCAGUUAGCUUGGCUCCUCCUAAGGAUAUAGAUUGCAUUCAUACUCAGAAGCUGGUUGAAGUCAUGAAAGCAUGUGGGGUGUCUGAAGAUGAGGAAGAACUGAAUCACAGGUAUAACAAGGCUGUAAAAUUUGUUAAUCUUCUGGGUGUUUUUUAGGGCAAACUUAUACAAAUAUUCAAACGAGAGCUUUGAAGGCCGAAGUGGAGCAGGGCUAUAUGCAAACAGCAGUUGAACAUGGGUCAGUCGGUCCUAAGCGAUAGGCGAGUGCCGUUCCGAAAGGGCGGGCGAUGGCCUCCAUUGCCCUCAGCCGAUUGAAAGGGAGUCGGGUUCAGAUCCCCGAAUCCGGAGUGGCAGAGACGGGUGCCACGAGGUGCCCAGUGCGGUGACGCAACCGAUCUCGGAGAAGCCGGCGGGAGCCCCGGGGAGAGUUCUCUUUUCUUUGUGAAGGGCCGGGCGCCCUGGAAUGGGUUCACCCCGAGAGAGGGGCCCGCGCCUUGGAAAGCGUCGCAGUUGUGGUGGCAUCCAGUGAGCUCUUGCUGGCCCAUGAAAAUCCGGGGAAGAGGGCGUAAGUCUCGCGCCGGGCCGUACCCAUAUCCGCACCAGGUCUCCAAGGUGAACAGCCUCUGGCAUGCUGGAACAAUGUAGGUAAGGGAAGUCGGCAAGCUGGAUCCGUAACUUCGGUAUAAGGAUUGGCUCUAAGGGCUGGGUCGGUCAGGCUGGGGCGCGAAGCAGGGCUGGGCCCGUGCCGCGGCUGGACGAGGCGCCGUGCGCCGCCCGCUCAGGCGCACGUGCGGCAGCGACUCUGGACGCGCGCCGGGCCCUUCCUGUGGAUCGCCCCAGCUGCGGCGGGCGCCGCCCGCGCCCCCCUCCACCCACCGCCACUCCCGCCCGGCGCCCCAGGGGCGGCUGCUGCUGUUGCCACACACUGCUGCCCCUGGCCCUUUCGGUCCGCAACCAGCGGUGGGGGGGCUAAAGGGUUCCCGCGGCGCGCACGCACACACGUGUGCGGCCGUGGCCGGCGUCGGCGCGUGGUUCCGCGGGGGAGGGUCCCCGGGCUGGUGCCCCGCCUCAGCCGGCGCCUAGCAGCCGGCUUAGAACUGGUGCGGACCAGGGGAAUCCAACUGUUUAAUUAAAAAAAAGCAUCGCGAAGGCCCACGGCGGGUGUUGAUGCGAUGUGAUUUCUGCCCCAGUGCUCUGAAUGUCAAAGUGAAGAAAUUCAAUGAAGCGCGGGUAAACGGCGGGAG
Molecule: long non-coding RNA, 1433 nt
Organism: Aquila chrysaetos chrysaetos
Lineage: Eukaryota; Metazoa; Chordata; Aves; Accipitriformes; Accipitridae
Exons: 2
Source: RefSeq, a predicted model, not a curated record